Molecule: ribosomal RNA, 459 nt
Filed under: uncultured bacterium
Lineage: Bacteria
Description: partial 16S ribosomal RNA
Rfam family: Bacterial small subunit ribosomal RNA
Source: RNAcentral
CCUACGGGAGGCAGCAGUGAGGAAUAUUGGUCAAUGGCCGGAAGGCUGAACCAGCCAAGCCGCGUGAGGGAGGAAGGCGCAGAGCGUCGCAGACCUCGUUUGCCGGGGGACAAAAGGCCGGACGCGUCCGGUCCUGAGGGGACCCGGUGAAAAAGCAUCGGCAACCUCCGUGCCAUCAGCCGCGGUAAGACGGGGGAUGCGAGCGUUAUCCGGAUUCAUUGGGUUAAAAGGGAGCGCAGGGGGGCCGUUAAGCUGGCGGUGAAAUCGCGGGGCUCAACCCGGCCGAGCAGUCGGAACUGGGGGCCUUGAGUGCGGCGGAGGAAUGCGGAAUGCGAGGUGUAGCGGUGAAAUGCAUAGAUAUAGCGCAGAACCCCAGUUGCGAAGGCAGCGUGCCGUGCCGCCACUGACGCUGAGGCACGAAAGCGCGGGGAUCGAACAGGAUUAGAUACCCGAGUAGUC